This is an RNA transcript of Esox lucius (northern pike), 4119 nucleotides long. It is a transcript of the gene named septin 6, with no coding region annotated. The transcript has 11 exons. NCBI's taxonomy places the organism in Eukaryota, Metazoa, Chordata, Actinopteri, Esociformes, Esocidae. The record is from RefSeq and is a predicted model, not a curated record.
AUCUCUGUUGUAUGCAGCUUCCUGCAUAGGGUCUUCAUCCCCAAAAAAAACCAUGGCGGCCACUGAAAUAGCUAGGCAAGCGGGAGAAGGUGCUCGGGCUGUUCCUCUUGCUGGCCAUGUCGGCUUCGACAGUAUGCCAGACCAGCUGGUCAAUAAGUCCGUCAACCACGGGUUCUGCUUCAACAUCCUUUGCGUUGGGGAGACGGGCCUCGGCAAGUCCACCCUCAUGGACACGCUGUUUAACACCAAGUUUGAGGGGGAGCCCACCCAGCACAACCAGCCGGGCGUGCAGCUCAAGUCCAACACCUACGAGCUCCAGGAGAGCAACGUGCGCCUCAAGCUGACCGUGGUCAACACCGUCGGCUUCGGCGACCAGAUAAACAAGGAGGACAGUUACAAGUCCAUUGUGGAGUUCAUUGACACCCAGUUUGAGGCCUAUCUGCAGGAGGAGCUGAAAAUAAAGCGCACGCUACAUAGCUACCACGACACCCGUAUUCACGCCUGCCUAUAUUUUAUUGCACCCACUGGACACUCCCUCAAAUCCCUUGACCUGGUGACUAUGAAGAAGUUGGACAGCAAGGUGAACAUCAUCCCCAUCAUCGCCAAAUCAGACGCCAUCUCCAAGAGUGAACUGACCAAGUUCAAAAUCAAGAUCACCAGUGAGCUCGUCAGCAACGGCGUCCAGAUCUACCAGUUUCCCACCGAUGAUGAGACAGUCGCCGAGAUUAACGCCACCAUGAAUGGCCAUUUGCCGUUCGCCGUGGUGGGCAGCACGGAGGAGGUGAAGAUCGGCAACAAGAUGGUGAAAGCGCGGCAGUACCCCUGGGGCACGGUGCAGGUGGAGAAUGAGAACCACUGUGACUUUGUGAAGCUGAGGGAGAUGCUGAUCCGGGUCAACAUGGAGGACCUGCGGGAACAGACGCACACGCGCCACUACGAGCUGUACCGCCGCUGCAAGCUGGAGGAGAUGGGUUUCAAGGACACGGACCCUGACUGCAAGCCCUUCAGUCUGCAGGAGACCUAUGAGGCCAAGAGGAAUGAGUUCAUGGGGGAGCUGCAGAAGAAGGAGGAGGAGAUGAGACAGAUGUUUGUCCAGAGAGUGAAGGAAAAGGAGGCAGAGCUUAAGGAAGCAGAGAAAGAGCUGCACGAGAAGUUCGACCGGCUAAAAAAGCUGCACCAGGACGAGAAAAAGAAGCUGGAGGACAAGAAGAAGUCCCUGGACGAUGAGCUGAACGGCUUCAAGCAGAAGAAGACAGCUGCCGAGCUGCUGCAGUCCCAGGCCCAGCAGGCAGGGGGAUCCACCACACUGAAGAGGGACAAGGAGAGGAAAAACUGACGUGAGUCCCGUCACCGGCCCCCGUUAGAAAGUACGAAGAAACUUGCACUGAAUAAGUUCAGGAUUCCUGUAGAAAAGUGCUCCCUCCCUCAGCCAGCUGGGAAUGAGUCCCCCCUGGCAGUGCCAUGCUGUUCUUUGUGCCCUCCCUGGCCUCUUCCCCCUUUUCCCAUUCCAAACACCCGCCCCUACUCUUUGAAAGAAUUCAGCCAUUACUGUGAACGAGGAACCUUGACUCAAAUGCAACCUUUUUGUGUUAAAUUUUUUUACAAGCCAUGAGUCUACGUUUGCUUGUUGUUGUUGUUGUUGUUUUUUUUUUAUGUUGGAAAGUAGAUGUUCUCUUUUUACAUUUUUAAAAUUUUUAAUUUUAGUUGUUGACAUGUUCCGCAUGACUGGGUGCGCUUUUCAACUGAACACAGGCAGCUGCUGUUCUUACUGGCAGAUGUUUGUGGAGGCUAAGGUGAAAAGACUAUCAGCUGUCGUCUGACUGGGCAAGGGUUGUGUCUUCUCUCCUAGGGUGACCUAAAUAGCCCCCGACAGUUAAACGUCGGAGUGCAUCGUUAUCUUGUUGACACACGACGCAUCCAGUUAUUACUGAACACGAGAACAGCCACCACACAUUAGGAGAUAUAGCCUGGUCCAUGUCAGUGAGUUAUGGAGUUGGCAUCGUAGUAAAACAAAUUGCCAUCCAGGCUAUCUUGUGAGAGCAAUCUUGUGCUAAUGGUCGACGGCUGAUGUUAUUCCAUCUUAGCCUAGUGCAUGUGCAGACAUUAAUGCUUUUUUUAUGCCUGUUCGCAGUACAUCAUUUUUUUAUACAUGCUAUCUACAUAUACCUACAUGUUUCCUUUUCACAUUUGAAACGUGAUUUUGUAUAUCUCCAGUGAACCUGUGAUUUAUUUUAUUCCACGUAAAAGCACAUAAUAAACAACUUAAUCACAUAAUAGUUCAGUAGGGGUCAGUAUUGCACUUGUAUCAGUGUUACACAAAAAAAGCUUUAUCUCAAAAGUAAAUAAAGGGCCAAUUUCAACAAAUGUCAACUGUGGGCACGGUUAUUGUGUAUGGAAAAAUGGAAUGAGGCAAUAUUUGAAUGAUGCAGUGUACGAGUGAGUUGUGCACAGGUUUGGUCUAGACACCUUAUAAUCCUCAUUCGAGGGCUUUAUAUUUAUCACACUAUUGUUAUUGACAAAACAACUCAUGCUGAGCAAAAUUGUCUGCAAAUGUCGUUGUUUGUGUUUUGGGGUAUGUUUUCAGUCUCUACAUUGAAUAUGGGAUGUCGAUCAGAAAGAAAUGUUUUUAGAACCCCCCACCCCAUCUCCAAAACCACGUCUUUAUGUCCUGGAUUAGUAUGAUUGAUAGGCCUCUGUGCUGUGGUGGAUGGGGGUGGGGCUAACCACUCAAAUGUCCACAGAUACAGGCAUUUCACUGUGGUCUAAUUGUAUUGAACCAAAUCGUCGACAUGUCCUUUACAGGGGUAGGGUAGAUUUGGUUUACAACUUCUCACAAUCCCUUCUCAAGUGGCUCUGUCUUAAUGUUUCUGGGAACUAUCUGUCGUCCAAUGUGCUAUCGGCUGCCUUUGUGUGGUGUAUCAUUCAUACAAGCCCUGAUUGAAUGCCUCUGCUCACUGCUAUCUAUGUAUUUACCUUUCCUUUGCAGUAAUCCCUGGCUCUGCACUGAGUAGGUGCUUCCACCCUCAAGCUUUGCUAAGGGACCAAGCUUUGUGGGUAGCGGGUACCCCAAGGCCAAGGAGAGCCAUUGAGGACCCCCACUUUUCUGUGUUAAAAAACAAAACACGAGUCUGCUCUAUGUAUUAAUGAAAGGAGAACCUCCUUAUCUGUGUCCUUCUGUGGAUCUAACCGUACGUGCUUAAUGUGUGGCUAAAUGUCUUGCCCAUGGCUAUGCUUUCUUGUUCUGUCUUGUUUUUGCUGUGUUGGCUUUGAUGACUAAUAUCAACCUUUUGCUUUUGUAGGGAUAGACAUUUGUGGACAACGUGUUGUGCACUUCACUUUGUAGUCUUUCCAUCCACACUAUAUUUAAUAUUGUCCAUGUGUGAUUUAUUAACUGCCACUGAAUACUUUUUUUGGAUUUUCAGAGGACAUUAUACCUGCUGCGAGCAGUUCUCAGUAAGACUUGUCCCAAUGAAAGGGGAUAAAGCUAUUUAUUUAGUGUUUUAUAUCUAUGUUGUACUAAAAUCUAACUAGCUAUUGUACGCUAUUGUUUAAGUUGUUAUUUUUUACCUCAAAACACUGUCCGUUUAUUUGUAAUGCAGUUAUUUGAAGAACAGUGGCAAAUAUACAUGUCUUAGGAAAACCCAAAUAUUACUGUCAUGAAAUACUGUCAGUAAAGGCUUGUUUCUUAUUAUAAUGAACCUUGUCUUGUGGUAGGCAUUGUUGCUAUCUCUGACUGCUUGGGCAUCUCUUGUAACCUUGCAUUUGUCUCUUUCUCUCUCUAGCUUCUUUUAAUCUGUCUUGGCCACCUGUCUGAAGAGGGGAUUGCAGCUUCGACAAGAACUAAGCACCCAUUUCCUCUUCCUGUCUUUUCUCGCCUUUUCAACCUAUUUUAACUUCCUUCUCAUUUGCUUGGUUGAACAUGGCCUUAUGUGGGCUUCACAUGGUAUUUUUGGAUAGCAAAUUUACGUUUUACCACCUACUCAUGGUAAACUUUGGCCAGAGGGAGUCCUUCACUUCAUAUUAUUCAGAUAUCUUGGUGUAUGGAUGAACAAAGAUUUGCUCAGGUAGGAUAAAACACAAUGGUUCUAGAGAAAGAUGCUGAAUAAAAUCAACGUUUGU